GAUCGAUGUGGUGCUCCGGAGUUCUCUU
Molecule: non-coding RNA, 28 nt
Filed under: Mus musculus (house mouse)
Lineage: Eukaryota; Metazoa; Chordata; Mammalia; Rodentia; Muridae
Source: RNAcentral